ACCUCUGGAAGAGCAGUCAGCGCUCCUAGUUGCUGAGCCAUCUUUGUAUAUAGACAGAUAAAUGCUUGUCUUGUAGAGUUAAAAUACGAAGCCGGGUAGUUGCUGGGGAAAGAGAGUGAAAAGCCUGCUAAUCUGUCUUCUAUAGCAGAGGCCCCAGGGGGUGGGUUGUUGUUUGUUUGUUUGCUUCCUUUUGUUUGUUUGUUUCCAUGCCUACAAUCAGCCAAUGAGUGGUCCUGUUGCUCCAGCCCUCCACAGCACUGGCUGCUAUUAGAGUUCCUGAUCAUUUGCAAAGCAUCAAUGGCAGAGGUAAAGAAUAAAUCCUAUCGGUCCAUUUCCACCAUGAGAUGUGUUUAGAGCUCACUGGAGAAUCACAAAGAAGCAGGAGGCGGUAGCUUCCUGUCUUCCCUCGCUGGAGGAUGGAGCUUGCUCAUUGACGCCGUCUCAAUUCAUCCUGGGGUUUGCAAAGUUCCAGUCAGUCUGCUGUGUUGCUGAGCCCAUGUAUCAGAAAGAGAGGGAAUCUCAGGCUCCAGGAUGUACUUUAGGGGUUGGGAGUAUGCUGACUGGGAGAGUGCUUACCCAGCAUGCACUGAGCCCUGGGCGUGGUCCUCAGCAGUAAAUACAGGAGGUGUGGUGAGUAUGCCUGUCACACUAGCACUCAGGAAAAUGGAAGCAGAUAAAUCAGGUCAAGAUUAUCUUUGGCUGCAUAGGGAAGCUGAGGCCAGCCUGGGCUACAUGAGGUCUGUUUUUUGGGGGUUUUUUGUUUGUUUAUUUUUGUUUCUUAAAGAAGAAAGCAGAGAAAGGCCUUCCUACUGACGAAGCAUUUGCCACAUAGGCCCCUUUCAGCACCUUCUUUUUCACUUCCCACUUCCUUCUUGGCACUCAGCUGUUCUAGGUAGAAUGAGGGUUGGAGAGAGAAAGCCAGGUUCUGAUGAGCAAUGGGGGUUUCUCUUCCUCCCUGCCUUCUUGGCAGGGUUAUUGAGUAUCCAGUGAGUACAGGGCCUGGAGCUGAUGUGGGGAUCAGAAAAGAUAUCUCCUCAUGCUAGAGGCAACACAGAGCAGGCCACAAGGGAGGUCUCCAAGGGAGGAGGAUUUAGGUUGCGACUUGGAGGAACCGGGGAGGUGGCUCAGUAGUAGAAGCUCUGAGGCAAGCAGCAGGCACGAGGACCAGAGUUUGGAUUCCCAGAGCCCAUGUAAACGAAGGAUGAGCCUAUCUGUCCUGAUAUUCAGAAAGUAGAGACAGGAAAUGCCCCAGAGAAAGAUGCAGGCUAGGCAAGGCUGUACCAGUGAGCCCUGGGUUCACGUGAGAGGCCCCACCUUGACAGAAAAAAUGGAGAGUAACAGAGGGAGAGGCCCAAUAUCCUUAGCCCUCCACAUGCAAGUGUCGAAGGGCUGACAGGGCCUUCUGCAGCCUUGGCCAUCUCUGCAAGGACAUCCGAGGUGAUCAGCUGGGAAGGAACCUACAUCAUGGCCCUCCAUAGCUAUCUCAGGAAGAAGGAAAUCUUCAAGAAGAACAGGGGCAAACCUUGGUGAGUCAGCUCUGCACUCAGUGCUUCCUCGUAUCCCCCCAGGAUCCUGCGCAUUGCCUUCUGAGCCCAUUCUCUCUUGUGUUAAACAGUGGGUAAGCAUGUUCUCCUAAAUCUCCCUGGGUCUUCUAUCCAUCUGUGACACCCUGUACACCAAUGUGACUGUGGCAGACUCCCCAAGAGAGUCUCUCAUUCCAGUAUCUUGACAGAUGAAGCUUGGAGAGGCUGAGGGACAAGUCCAAGGGGCUGCAGGAAAGGAACGGUCCUGGUCCAGAUGAGAAGGAGAGCAGGCCAAGGAGGCAGCACCAUCAACAGGCGGCCCAGCCCCCUGACUCCACUUUGUGGAAGAUCAGAAGGCUGAGGUUCAGAGCCAUCAUAAUUUGUUGAAGGUCACACAGCAAAUGGACAGAGAGCAGCUGGUCAGAAUGAGGCCUCUGAGCUUCAGCUGAUGUCUUCCACCCCCCAGAAAUGAGGUGCAGGGGGUCACCUGGUUCUCAAGAUAAGGAGUAGCUGCCAGGCACAGUGGCUCACAGCCAUAAGCCCAACAGGUCUCAGGCCAGCCUGGACUGCACAUCAGGACCUUGGCUCAAAAUAACAGAGGAAAUGAAAAAAAUACAGACUUGCCUAGCAGAGUCCUGUUCAGUAUGGGUUAUAGUUGGACCCAGAGAACUUACUAAGCAAAGAGCAAUUGUUGGUGACAAUGGGUUAAUCCAUAGACAAUGUCUGUGCUUGUCCCAGGCUCAGGGGGACAGACUGGCCCUGCCUGAGCCCCUUCCAGCACAAGAUCAUGAUUCCCAGAAUACCAAGAGAAUGGAUGGCCAUCAGCCUCAGUGAAGCUCUCUAAGUCUCCUUGUCUUCUAUCAGCUCCCACCGUGAUGCAAGCCAGGGAAGGUGUGGGGCAAUUUAUUGCUUUAUCAAUAUUUAAUAUCUCCAGGGAGGUGACAUCAGCAAAAUUGCCUGGCCUUACAGAACCAUCUAGAUAGACAGUGGGACAGGCCCUUCAUCUCUCUGAAUGCCCAGUCCUCCCCACAUGGGGGACAGAUAAGAUUUAUAGACGCCUGUAAGAGGUAUAAUGUUGUAGAGGUUGGCCUCUUGAGCUAGUCAGGGGACCUGCUACCCAGGACCCCCACAAUCCCUCCCCCCUCUGCUUGUCACUUGGUCUAGUAGCAUGCAAGCCAGGUGGCUAUGCCACAGGAUUGAGGUCUAGGUCCUUGGCUGUUCUGGGACAUCAGUGAAGGGAGGCAGGGUGUCGGUAGUGCUGUGUGCUGAUCAACCCUUUAGAUGGAGGACACCAGGGAUAGUAGCCCUGGAUCCCUAGCCUCUACUCUCCCUGGGGCUCAGCUUCCCCUUCUGGAGAAUAUUCUGAGACACAGGCGAUGCUUCUCACUAGCUCUGGAGGGCAGACACCAGGCCACCUAAGGUGGCCAGCCCUCUGCUCUGCCCAGGAGAAUAAGGGAGGCCCAGAGGCAUGAUGGAAACAAGUCGUUGGAAGCUGGAGUGAGGGAAAAGAAAUGCAGAGAGGGAGCCUUGUGUUGUUUGUGUCUCUGGGGUCUCAGAGUUCCCAUUGCUAUUAUCUGGGGACACUGUGGUGGUUUGAAUAUGCUUAGCCCAGCGAGUGG
Molecule: small RNA, 3142 nt
Filed under: Rattus norvegicus (Norway rat)
Lineage: Eukaryota; Metazoa; Chordata; Mammalia; Rodentia; Muridae
Description: uncharacterized LOC102555625
Source: RNAcentral